Chenopodium quinoa (quinoa) is the source of this 693-nucleotide long non-coding RNA. RefSeq lists it as uncharacterized. The transcript is spliced from 2 exons. The record is from RefSeq and is a predicted model, not a curated record. Lineage: Eukaryota; Viridiplantae; Streptophyta; Magnoliopsida; Caryophyllales; Amaranthaceae.
UUGUUUGGUCUUCUGUAAAUUGUAAGAUGAUUCUUUCAAUCACAGACAAUGGUUAGGCGAGCAACAAUGGUGGGGUUAGAUGAGUAAUUGAUCUAAAAAGUUAGAAAAGUUGGCAGACAUCUCUUUUAUAAAAAAAAAAAAUCUACUUCCGUUCUUUUUACGUAGUGGUGUAUUAGUAAUAGGCAUCAAGGAUUAAUGAGGUUGCCUAACCAAUUCGAUUAGUACACUAAACUAACUUGGACUCGUUUAUUUGUAGACGGAGGCUACUAUGUGAACGUUUCGGAGGUUAAUUACCUUGAGUUUUUACGCGCGAUCAAGGUUGGUAAAAGGGUACUCGGUUACGUGUGAGGAGACGUUAGAAUAAUCACGUAGCUAAGAAAAUUUAGUUUAUUCCCGAAUUUAAUUAUUUCCUCUCCAUUAUUGGUUUCAAAAUAAUUGCAGUUUUGAUGUAAUGACUAUUUUAUUUUGCCACAACUUAGACGUUUAUUUAAAUAUUAUGUAAUUUUUGCUUUGCAUUUAUUUUCUACGGAAAAUAAGUGUAGCAGUAACACUCCCAGAGUUCGAUGGUUGGGUUUUUGAAAGUUAAAGGUUACUCUUAUUGUUUUUUUAAAGACUUGAAUUUUGGGGGUGUUACAAUUUUGAUUUUGGUUGUUUAUUUUGCUUGUUAAUUUGCAGCCUUGACCCUUCUGCUUG